This 77-nucleotide transfer RNA is filed under the name Gammaproteobacteria bacterium. Its description in RNAcentral is "tRNA-Arg". It matches the Rfam family "tRNA". Rfam says of the family: Transfer RNA (tRNA) molecules are approximately 80 nucleotides in length. Their secondary structure includes four short double-helical elements and three loops (D, anti-codon, and T loops). Further hydrogen bonds mediate the characteristic L-shaped molecular structure. tRNAs have two regions of fundamental functional importance: the anti-codon, which is responsible for specific mRNA codon recognition, and the 3' end, to which the tRNAs corresponding amino acid is attached (by aminoacyl-tRNA synthetases). tRNAs cope with the degeneracy of the genetic code in two manners: having more than one tRNA (with a specific anti-codon) for a particular amino acid; and 'wobble' base-pairing, i.e. permitting non-standard base-pairing at the 3rd anti-codon position. Lineage: Bacteria; Pseudomonadati; Pseudomonadota; Gammaproteobacteria. The record is from RNAcentral.
GCACCCGUAGCUCAGUUGGAUAGAGUACCUGGCUACGAACCAGGUGGUCGGGAGUUCGAAUCUCUCCGGGCGCGCCA